This is a non-coding RNA of Phasianus colchicus (ring-necked pheasant), 427 nucleotides long. The record is from RefSeq and is a predicted model, not a curated record. NCBI's taxonomy places the organism in Eukaryota, Metazoa, Chordata, Aves, Galliformes, Phasianidae.
GUCGCGGUACACGCAAGGGAGCCGAAGGGACCGAGGACGAACGGAGGAGCAGAGAACGUCCGUUACAGAGCGGGGUGAGGACGUUGGCUCUGCAGGUCGAGAGAGACGGGAGGUUUGUGGAGUCUGACAGGGGUGAAGAUGAUGGAGGACCGGGAGCGUCUCCUUUCUGAGGAAUGGAUGAGACCACCGGCUGCCUGCUGGGGAUACGAUGCUCUCCAGAGAGCCCUGGUUCUGAUCUUGCUGCAGGUUGAGGGCAGCAGUGAAGUCUCUCUUGCUGGGGACUGGCCUGAAUAUGUGAGCGCUCCCUGUUUUUGUGUGCUCUUCCUGCAUGUUUGGGGAUGGAGAAGGAUACCAUGUGGCCUGAGGUCCUGGUGCAGCUGGGCUCUUCUGAGGACUUCAGAGGUGGAAGUGAAGCUGACCUGAGAGG